GACGAACGCUGGCGGCGUGCUUAACACAUGCAAGUCGAACGGAAAGGCCCUGCUUUUGUGGGGUGCUCGAGUGGCGAACGGGUGAGUAACACGUGAGUAACCUGCCCUUGACUUUGGGAUAACUUCAGGAAACUGGGGCUAAUACCGGAUAGGAGCUCCUGCUGCAUGGUGGGGGGUGGAAAGUUUCGGCGGUUGGGGAUGGACUCGCGGCUUAUCAGCUUGUUGGUGGGGUAGUGGCUUACCAAGGCUUUGACGGGUAGCCGGCCUGAGAGGGUGACCGGCCGAGUUGGGCCUGAAGUGCGGCCGAGAGUCCUGGGGGGGAGAGCGGGGGGAAAUAUUGCCGAAGGGGGGGAGGUCGAAGGAAGAAGCGCCGCGGGGGGGAUGACGCCCUUGGGUUUGAAAACCUCUUUCGCAUGGAACGAGGCGUGGGUGGGGUUAAGGGAAAAAGAAGCCCCGGCAAACUGCGGG
Molecule: ribosomal RNA, 468 nt
Filed under: uncultured bacterium
Lineage: Bacteria
Description: partial 16S ribosomal RNA
Rfam family: Bacterial small subunit ribosomal RNA
Source: RNAcentral